This 253-nucleotide ribosomal RNA is filed under the name uncultured bacterium. Its description in RNAcentral is "partial 16S ribosomal RNA". It matches the Rfam family "Bacterial small subunit ribosomal RNA", at positions 524 to 776 of the family's 1533-position model. The record is from RNAcentral.
UACGUAGGGGGCAAGCGUUGUCCGGAUUUAUUGGGCGUAAAGAGCGUGUAGGCGGCCAAGCAGGUCCGCUGUGAAAACUCGAGGCUCAACCUCGAGACGUCGGUGGAAACCGUUUGGCUAGAGUCCGGAAGAGGAGAGUGGAAUUCCCGGUGUAGCGGUGAAAUGCGCAGAUAUCGGGAGGAACACCCGUGGCGAAAGCGGCUCUCUGGGACGGUACUGACGCUGAGACGCGAAAGCGUGGGGAGCGAACAGG